CACGGAUCCCUUCACACCUGCUUGGAAGGUUGGGGAGCAGGAUGCUGACCCCUUUGUGUGGUUCCAGGCUAUAAUAGCUAAUUAACCUGGACACAGCUUGGGAUCAUCUGUGAUGUCCUCCUUUCCCCGGCAAAGCGGAUAAUGCUGCCAUGGGGCCAGGCCUGCCCUCAUGCAGCUAGGGGUCACAUCUGCCUGCACACAGCAUGGGAGAGUGUGGAGGAGGAGGGACAGGACCCUAUUUCCAGACAAUUGUCUAACAGGAAGAGGAUCAUAAAAUCCUAAGAUUGGCUAAUCAACCUCCCUGUUCUACAGAUGAAGAAACUCACACUCCCAGGACAAGUGACCUCUCAGGACCACACAGAAAGAGAGUUGAUGUAAUAAUUGUACUCUGUGGCUACAUGGGUGUGAACCAGAACGAGGCAGAAGGGAUCUAUUUUUCUAUUUAGUGCCAAUGAGCCCCCAUGGAUCUAUGCAGGGGCAGGGUGCUUUGUGCAGAUGAAGGUCGUGCCAGACAUGGUAAUGAAGGCCCUGAACAGAGGGAGAACCAUCAGGGACUGCUGUGUGAGCAAAGCGUGGACUUUCAUCCUGAAAAAUGAGUGCAUCCGUAACAACAUCCUCAAACAUAGACGGCUCUGAUUAGCGCUCCAGGAGCCCUCUCUCUAAAAACAUCUGAAAAUGCCUCCU
Long non-coding RNA from Homo sapiens (human), 684 nucleotides. RefSeq lists it as uncharacterized. The transcript is spliced from 4 exons. The record is from RefSeq and is a predicted model, not a curated record. Lineage: Eukaryota; Metazoa; Chordata; Mammalia; Primates; Hominidae.